RNAcentral lists this ribosomal RNA (169 nucleotides) under uncultured bacterium. Its description in RNAcentral is "partial 16S ribosomal RNA". It matches the Rfam family "Bacterial small subunit ribosomal RNA", at positions 338 to 524 of the family's 1533-position model. The record is from RNAcentral.
CCUACGGGAGGCAGCAGUGGGGGAUAUUGCACAAUGGGGGAAACCCUGAUGCAGCGACGCCGCGUGAGUGAAGAAGUAUUUCGGUAUGUAAAGCUCUAUCAGCAGGGAAGAAAGUGACGGUACCUGAGUAAGAAGCCCCGGCUAACUACGUGCCAGCAGCCGCGGUAAU